GUUUGUAUAUUUACUUUGCUUAGUAACAACAAAAGUAACCAAAUCUAGUACUUAAAAAAGAACAAGAUUAUUGCAAAUCUAAAAUUACUUAGACUUAAUAAUCAAAAUUACUAUUAAUUUCAUCUCUUUUACUUUUCUUGAAAAUCCAUUUCCAUACUCUGUUCCCUUUUCCAUUUUUACCCUUUUUCAUCAUUCUGUCAUAUUCAUUCAUUCUACAAGAUCCACUUCUCAAAUUUCCAGAUUCUGAAAAAAUAUCAAAUUUUGUCUCUGAUAAUAAAUCAAGUUUCAAAUCUAUAAAACCUGAAUCAUCAUCACCAUCAUUAUCCGUCGUAGUAGUUCUGUUGCUCGAAUUCUUUAAAAAUGUCGAAUCGAAUCCUUUAAAAAUAGUGUUUUUUUUAAGGAUUGGCAACGUUUUUGGAGAGUCGGAGCAUUUUUUCUUGAAAUCAUCGAAUAAUAAACCACCAGUAACAUCAGAGAUUUUUGCACUUGAAAAUCUGUAAUCACUGCUUCCAUCAUCGCCAUUACCACCGCCACCUCUGAAGCUACAGAGUGAUCUUGAUCUUGAUACAACUCCCUCAAUGGGACCUGAAAUUUCACUGUUUUUCUUGAAAAAUCUCUUGAUUUUCCAAAACCCAUUACGAUUCUUCUUGAUUUCAACACUGUUGCUACUGCUCCUCAGCAAGAUUACUUGCUCUGUUUUGGAGGUUUUGCUCUGUUUUUCGUUUUCAAGCAAAAACGAAAUCCUCCCAACACUUCCAACAUCGAAAGAAGAAGAAUUUGUUUCUGUAUCAUCGGAGAAUAAUUGAUCGGAGUAAAUUAGAUUGAGUAAUUUGUCUUUGAGACAAGAAGAACAAAUCCCGAUUGGGGAUGAAUUUGGGUGUUGCAUACAGGGGAUAUCUGAUGAAACAGAGUAAUUGAAAUCUGAAAUUUUGAUGUUUUCACCAUUAAUGGCGUCUGUAGCUGCAGCUUUGCCUCUGUCUUUCAUGGCGAUUUCUUGAUUUUGUUGUGAAGAAGAUUGAAAAUGAA
This 1026-nucleotide unclassified non-coding RNA is filed under the name Hevea brasiliensis (rubber tree). The record is from RNAcentral. Lineage: Eukaryota; Viridiplantae; Streptophyta; Magnoliopsida; Malpighiales; Euphorbiaceae.